This 279-nucleotide ribosomal RNA is filed under the name uncultured bacterium. Its description in RNAcentral is "partial 16S ribosomal RNA". It matches the Rfam family "Bacterial small subunit ribosomal RNA", at positions 506 to 784 of the family's 1533-position model. The record is from RNAcentral.
UGCCAGCCGCCGCGGUAAUACGAGAGACCCGAGCGUUAAUCGGAAUCACUGGGCUUAAAGGGUGCGCAGGCGGAUCUGUAAGCGUCUUGUGAAAUCCCACGGCUCAACCGUGGAAUUGCAGGGCGAACUGCAGAUCUUGAGGCAGGUAGAGGUCGUCGGAACGUUCGGUGGAGCGGUGAAAUGCGUAGAUAUCGAACGGAACGCCGAAGGAGAAGUCAGACGACUGGGCCUGUCCUGACGCUCAGGCACGAAAGCGUGGGGAUCAAACAGGAUUAGAUA